Molecule: long non-coding RNA, 548 nt
Organism: Mizuhopecten yessoensis (Yesso scallop)
Lineage: Eukaryota; Metazoa; Mollusca; Bivalvia; Pectinida; Pectinidae
Exons: 4
Source: RefSeq, a predicted model, not a curated record
GCCAAAUAACAGUGGUAUCUGAGAGGGAUGUCUCUUGUGUUAGCGAAGGUGACAUUGGUAUCUAGGAAAGUCGCAGCCUUCCCACAAAACACAGUGGAGAAGGUGACAGAGUAAUAUAAAGUGGGUAGAUAUUUGCUGACAGGUGGCAGUGGUAUAUGUGGGAAGUUAGUAGUGGUAUAUGUUCGAAGGGGCACUGAUAUAUAGGGGGAGGUGGUAGUGGUAUAUAUGGGAAGUUGGUAGUGGUAUAUGUGUGAAGUUAGUAGUGGUAUAUGUUGGAAGGGGUACUGAUAUAUAGGGGGAGGUGGUAGUGGUAUAUGUGGGAAGGUGACAGUGGUAUAUGUGGGAAGGUGACAGUGGUAUAUGUGGGAAGGUGACAGUGGUUUAUGUGGGAAGGUGACAGUGGUAUAUGUGGGAAGGUGACAGUGGUAUAUGGGGGAAGGUGACUGUGGUAUAUGUGGGAAAAUGACUGUGGUAUAUGUGGGAAGGUAACUGUGGUAUAUGUGGGAAGGGACACUGGUAUAUGUUGGAAGGGACACUGGCAUAUGUGG